This 936-nucleotide long non-coding RNA is filed under the name Homo sapiens (human). RNAcentral describes it as "HSALNT0394967". Lineage: Eukaryota; Metazoa; Chordata; Mammalia; Primates; Hominidae. The record is from RNAcentral.
AUGCUGUUCUUGCGAUAGUGGGUGAGUUCUCACGAGAUCUAAUGGUUUUAUAAGUGUUUGGCAAGGUCCUGUUUUGAUCAUUUGCUCUCUUGCCUGAGGCCAAGGAAGAUGUGACUCUUCCCCUUUCGCCAUGAUUGUAACUUUCCUGAGGCCUCCCCAGCCAUGCAAAACUAUUGUUCGCUGUUAGUGUAUAGAAACACUACUGACAGGCCAUAAUGAAUAAUGAGAUUGAAGGAGUAAUAAAAGUCUUCCACCAAAGAAAAGCCCAGGACCUAGUGGAAUCACUGCCAACCUUUGCCUAUCAGUAAUACCAGUUUCACUUAAACUAUUUCAAAAAAUUGAAGAGGAGAUAAUACUUCCAAACCUACUCUAUGAGACAUCAGAGCUCCAGGCCUUUGGACUAUGGGACCUACACCAUUGGCUUUCCUGGUUCUCAGGCCUUCAGACUUGGACUGUGUCUCACUUCUGGCUCUUUUGGGUCUCCAGCUUGCAGAUGGCAGAUCAUGGAACUUCCUGGCCUCCAUAAUAAGUAAGAAGAAAAAUGGACUUCUUUCACUAAAUAAAGUUGAAACAUAUCUGAAAUGAUCAACGGUACUGAUCACAAAUGAAGAGUCAGUUCAAGACGUAAACAUUUACUGAACAGCUGCCAUAGUUGUAUAAAAAUGUUUUAUGAAAGAAUAAGAAAGAAAUGGAUGAAUUGGGCUCCAUACUCGAGGAACUAAAGCUUACUCUUCAAGAAUAGUCAAAAGAUAACACCUCUAGCAGUUUAAUAUGCACAUCCUUUGGUGUUUAUUGAAGGUAUGUGUCUACUUACUACUUACAUGGGCAAAAAGAAAUGUGUGAGAAUGCUGCUGUCCUCUUCACAUGAAGCACCAAAUACAGACUGUUUUCCUUUUGGGGUUUUCUUCAAGUUCCUACUGGUAGAUAUUGCUGCAA